GCGAGCUGAGCUUCGGGAGGGGCCUGUGUUGGCGGGAUCCCGGGUGGGGGAGCUGGAGUCCCGAGGCUCAAAGGUGGCGUGGUGGCGGCUGUGCGGGGCUUGCAGCUCCGGGUGUUUGAGUCCCCUGCUCCGAACACAUGCUGCCUCCCGAACCGUCCUUCUCCAGUCCUCCGCGGAGCCCACAGUAGCUAUUGCUAUUGCGUAGUACGGAGACUCUGCUCCUUAAGAAGAUCAAUUCAUGGUUUUUUAUUACAUAAGAAGAAAGUAUGACAAACAUUGAUGCCCAUUUUGAAUAGUUCUCCUCUGGACAAUUCUUCAGAAGUCCUCCAGCAGCCUUUCUCUCAUGUGUCCUUGCCCAGAAUUGUAUUCCAUGCCCAUUUGUUAAGUAAUCACUUUCAAGGGCAGCCUGGGUGGCUCAGCAGUUUAGUGCCGCCUUCAGCCAGGGCGUGAUCCUGGAGACCCCGGAUUGAGUCCCACCUUAUGCUCCCUGCAUGGAGCCUGCUUCUCCCUCUGCCUGUGUCUCUACUUCUCUCUCUCAUGAAUAAAUAAAUAAAAUCUUUAAAAAAAAAAAAAGUAAUACUUUCAAGAAGGAAAAGAAUUGUCAUUAAUUACACUCUUGGAGCUGAAAAAAGGGCCCACUUUCCCCUGAAGCGUAUGGUCAACUAACAUCUACAAGAAUGGAUGGAAGGAAAUAAGGAUACAAGGCAGCUACUAAAUAAAGUAUCUUCCACUUGGAAAAUAUCUAUACAACAGAAAACUAUUUAACUUGCAAACAGAUGUGAAAGUAAGUCACACCUCAACUAUGUUAUGCCUCAAUCUUUAAUCCUUAAAUGGCAUCAUUCAGUGUAUUCACCAGUUAUUUUUACCAGCUAAAUUUACCUUACUUGGUUGGGUCUUUUUAAAUGUUAAAAUAAGAAUAAUGCACAUUUGUUGCAAAGGUAUGAUAUAUGGAUAAGGAAGAUGACAAAGAUGUUAAAGUCUUCCCAGAUUCUACCAACCAGAGAAGAAACUACUGUGAACAUUUUUAUACAUCCCUUUAGAAUUCUCCCCAUACUAAGUGUAUUCAAUAUAUUCUAACAGAAUUACUAUAAUUCUAUAGUAUAACCCCCUUCUUUCACUUAAUUUACAAAUAUUAAUAAAGAUCUACAUGAUAGGUUUUUUUUUUUUUAAAGAUUUAUCCAUUUAUUUGAGGAGAAAGGAACAAUGCACAUGUGUGCAAGUGGACGACGGCAGAGAGAGAGAGAGGGAGAGCAGACUCCCUGCUGACUGCGGAGCCCCAGUGGGGUUGACCUCAGGUGCCCAAGAUCAUGACCUGAAAGGAUAUCAAGAGUUGGACACUUAACCUACUGAGCCACCCAGAAAUAGAACAAUCUUAAAAUUUGUAUGGAACCACAAAGACCUGGAAUAGCCAAAGCAAUCUUGAGAAAGAAGAACAACUCUGAAGGCAUCACACUUCUGGAUUUCAAAGUAUAAUCCAAAGUUAUGCUAAUCAAAAUAGUAUGGUACUGGCAUAUAUGGUCAAUUAAUCUAUGACCAAGGAGGAAAGAAUACACAAUGGGGAAAAGACAAGUCUCUUCAAUACAUGGUGUUGGGAAAAUUAGACAAC
Molecule: long non-coding RNA, 1606 nt
Organism: Canis lupus familiaris (dog)
Lineage: Eukaryota; Metazoa; Chordata; Mammalia; Carnivora; Canidae
Exons: 4
Source: RefSeq, a predicted model, not a curated record